Long non-coding RNA from Pygocentrus nattereri (red-bellied piranha), 535 nucleotides. RefSeq lists it as uncharacterized. NCBI's taxonomy places the organism in Eukaryota, Metazoa, Chordata, Actinopteri, Characiformes, Serrasalmidae. The record is from RefSeq and is a predicted model, not a curated record. The transcript has 3 exons.
UGAAAGCUGUAAAAAAAAAAAAGCCAAGGAAACAUUAAAUACUGAAAAACCGACGCUGCGUGUGUAACGUGGGGGAGCGAUGAUGAGGCGGAGAUUUAUUUUGGGCAAAUCCAAACUCGGGGUCAAAACAGUCCAGGCUCAAUGAGCCAACACGGGGAUAUCGAGAGACAGACAUGACAAGGAACACAGGAUAAACACAGCGGAGGCCGGAAGAAACAAACACCAAACAAUAUCAAACACUUCAAACAAAGACCAGCGAGAGACUCGGGAAGGGGACAGGUAACGAGACACAGGUGGUCAACAAGAGGGUAACAGCCCUGUAUCUGCAGCCUACAGCGACAUCCAGAAGCCACUGUAGACCUCGCUUGACUACAUGGACAGACGUGAACAUGGACAGACGGGACAACAUGGACCACUAUGGAUUUACAAGUGUCUGUUUGAAUGAAUGAUCGAGGAUGGAGAGAUGGAAGUCCAACAUGCACAUCCUCACAGGCUGUGCUAGAGCUCUCUGAAGGCUGAAGGCUGGCCCAGACUG